GUGAGGAAUUUUCCGCAAUGGGCGAAAGCCUGACGGAGCAAUGCCGCGUGAAGGAUGAAGGCCUAUGGGUUGUAAACUUCUUUUCUCAGAAAAGAAUUAUGACGGUAUCUGAGGAAUAAGCAUCGGCUAACUCUGUGCCAGCAGCCGCGGUAAGACAGAGGAUGCAAGCGUUAUCCGGAAUGAUUGGGAGUAAAGCGUCUGUAGGUUGUUUAAAAAGUAUUCUGUCAAAGAUUAGGGCUUAACCCUAGAUAGGCAGAAUAAACUUUUAAGCUAGAGUUUGGUAGAGGCAGAGGGAAUUCCCGGUGGAGCGGUGAAAUGCGUAGAUAUCGGGAGGAACACCAAAGGCGAAGGCACUCUGCUGGGCCAAUACUAACACUGAGAGACGAAAGCGAGGGGAGCAAAUGGGAUUAGAUACCCUAGUAGUCC
Molecule: ribosomal RNA, 426 nt
Filed under: uncultured bacterium
Lineage: Bacteria
Description: partial 16S ribosomal RNA
Rfam family: Bacterial small subunit ribosomal RNA
Source: RNAcentral